Molecule: long non-coding RNA, 258 nt
Filed under: Prunus dulcis (almond)
Lineage: Eukaryota; Viridiplantae; Streptophyta; Magnoliopsida; Rosales; Rosaceae
Description: sRNA ncRNA
Source: RNAcentral
UUUCGGGGCUAGUUGAUUUGGCAGGUGAGUUGUUACACACUCCUUAGCGGAUUUCGGCUUCCUUGACCACCGUCCUGCUGUCUUAAUCGACCAACACCCUUUGUGGGUUCUAGGUUAGCUGCAGUUGGGCACCGUAACCCGGCUUCUGAUUCAUCCCGCAUCGCCAGUUCUGCUUACCAAAAAUGGCCCACUUGGAGGUCUGGCACGGCUCAACAAAGCAGCCGCGCCGUCCUACCUAUUUAAAGUUUGAGAAUAAGU